AAGAUUAAUAGUAGCAGAAAAGCUAGCAAUGUUUUUGCCGCUGCUUGAAAACUGCUGGAGGAGUAAUACUGGAAUGCAUCAUUGUUGGAUAAUGACCACAGGGCGACUGGGCAGAGCUCUUUUCCCCCAGUGCUGCAACAGAGUGCCAGACGACACCAUGUCCAAGUCCCGACAUGAGGCUUGAACUCAGUACCUUCUGACUCAGAGCCAGGCUGACACACAUAAUGCCACACUGACCUGCAAGGAUUUCACACUGAGAGGCAAUCUCAGAAACAGUGGCGUGCGACUACCGAGAAGCUGAGGCAAGGUGUCAGAGAUGCAUUCGGCCUACUCAUUGUGUAAUGGAGGAUUGGGCACUGAACACGGCCACGGAUCUUUAUCUGCCCCGAAAUGACGGCUCUCACUCACACGCGCUGAUCCUCUGGAUGUCUAAAUACAGUUAAGCUUUUGAGCAUUGCACACAAUUAAGUACUUCUACAUUCAAUUAUCAUCAUUCCUCUACACGUUUCCAUUGUUGGUCAGUACAUGGUGGGAUAAAAAACAUGGGAUUAACAGCACUUUGUGAAAACCUGUCACACAGCACUUUGUGAAGAACUGUCAUACAGUCACUAC
Long non-coding RNA from Callorhinchus milii (elephant shark), 612 nucleotides. RefSeq lists it as uncharacterized. The transcript is spliced from 3 exons. Lineage: Eukaryota; Metazoa; Chordata; Chondrichthyes; Chimaeriformes; Callorhinchidae. The record is from RefSeq and is a predicted model, not a curated record.